Stegodyphus dumicola is the source of this 3447-nucleotide long non-coding RNA. RefSeq lists it as uncharacterized. The record is from RefSeq and is a predicted model, not a curated record. Lineage: Eukaryota; Metazoa; Arthropoda; Arachnida; Araneae; Eresidae.
AAAAAAAACUGCUGCAAGAAUCUGUUUUUGUAGUUUUGAUGUAUGCAGUUGAUUAGGUAAUAUUUGAAAUUUGGUAUUUAUAUCAAUGAGGAGAGCAUAAAAAUUAAAAGAAUUCUUAACAUUUAUAUGAUUUUAUCUUUCCUUUAGAAGUACUUGGUCUAGUGCAUGUUUGAUAAAGUGAUGUUUUUACUAGCUGAACUUUUUUUUUUCCAGUACCUGAAAAGGAAAUUGAUUUUUAAUUGUAAUAAUGUCUUCAACAGUUAUCAAAAUGAGUUUAAUAUGAAAUUUCUACAGUCGUAUAGAUUUGGUAGUGUAUAUAGUGUAGCUAAGUAUAUAACCUUGCAGAUCAAUUAUGUUAGUGGCCGCAAAUAAUUUGACCUAUGAUGACAUGAAAUACACUGAGUAGUAGUUACAUUCUGAUUCACUCAUAUAUCUCUUGCCAAAUCCAAAGCUCAACAGACUUUAAAUUAAAUUUUGGAAAACAGAAUUUUCUUUAUUUUUUCCCAUUUGAUGCAUUGGGCUGUCCUGUCUAGAAGACAUUAAGUUCUAAGCCUAAUUCUAAAGUUAUAUUUCUAGAAUGACAAAAUGCAGCAGAACAGUUACAUCAUUUUUUGAAGAAUAUAAAAACUGAACUACUGCUACUUGUCAUUUGAUUUUGGGAAGGUAUAAAAGAUUGCCAAUCAUAUGUCUGAAUCUCAAAAAUUCAAACAUUUAGUGAUUGAGUUCUUGACAAAAGAAAGUCAUAACAAUGCAUUAUAUUCAUGCCUUUUUGUGCUGUGUAGUGCGACAGUACUUUUCUGGACAGCUAAUCAAUGCAGGGCUGUUCUCUUUACGGAUGAGUCCAGGUUUAGCCUCCAAAGAGAUAGUAGACAUUAUUUGAUUUGGAGAGAACCUAGAACCCACUGUCAUCCAUCAAACAUCCGUGAAAGAGAUGCAUGCAGAGGAGGCAGUGUCUGUGUUUGGGGUGGUAUCUAUUUGAGUGGAUGUACAGACCUCCAUGUCUUGCCACAUGGAACCAUGAAUGCUCAGGUCUGUAGACAGUGCUAGAAUGCACAGGGCUCACAUCGUGGAUCAUUAUUUUCAGCGCAUGGAGUGGCUAACUCGAUCACCAAACCUGAAGCCUAUCAAGAAUGUUUAGGAUACUUUAGAAAGAUGUAUAGCUGCUCUCAGUCCUUUUGAUGUGUUGUGUCACUUCUAAGGGAGAUCAUACUCCAUACUGAAAGUAAUUUUCUUAUACCAAACUGACACACCAGAUGUGUUCAUUUUAUACAUAUGCUAGUUUCUAUAACACCAUAAUUGUCUGGUAAUUUCUUUUCAUAUUAUUUUAUACCUUACUAUGUAUUGUAUACUGUGGGUCAGCUUCAUUAAAUUCUACAUGUAACUUUUUGAGUAAUUAUUAUUUUUGUGAUUUUUUCCUUAACUAAUGAUAACCAGUGUAGUUUUUAUUCAUGACUAGUCACUGCUAUGACCUCAUAGGGAAAUUUAGUGUAGAAGCAAAAUAAAUCUUCCUAUUCCUGAGUACAGAAAUUGUUUGGCUGCCAUUUUUGGGAGGUUGAAGAGGAACCAUUGAUCUAUAAUUAUUUGUUAUUUAACUGAUAUUUAUUUUGAUAACUUUUUGCCCGGACUUCAAAAGCUAUAAAAGUAAACUACUAUGGCAAAUUCAGCAGAAAAGUGAUGUUUUUAUAUGAACUCAUGUACAGAAUUGAGAUUUCCCAGACGGCCACUCUGCAGUGCAAAUUUUACCUUCUCUCCCACUAACUGUAUUCAGCAGACAAGUCUUCAAUGACAUUUGUUCAAAAACUGAAGCCGCACUUAUGUAGUUCAUGUGAUGACAGUAAUGAUGACACAAAAAUGGCAUUUGGUAUUCGGUAAUAGUUUCAAGGCUGUGACAGAACUUUUUUUUAUUACUUGAAUUGGCUGCCUAACUGAUCAGAGUGCUAUGUGCAUUGGAGUCGAUGGAAACUUCAUAGAAAGCUGAAUAGGUUAUAUUGGAUAUUAUUGUUAUGUGAGUGUUAGACUAAAGUCUCAUAUAACACACAUAUUAAUUCACAUACAUCUGAUAAACAUAUCCCAUAUAUUUUGUGUAAAGCACUGCAAGAUUACAACUUAAAAGUGUGAGUUAUAUUUUAGCACAAUCCUUUGAUUAUUUGAAAUAUUUAUCAUAAUUACAGGAAAGUUAUUUAUAUGGGAAACUCUCAACUUGUCUUCUUUUAUUGUCUAUAAUGGUACUUAAAUAGUGAGUGUCCAUAAUAUGGUACUUAAAUAGUGAUAAUACUUGAAAGUGAAUGAUUCUACAGUCAUUCAUUUAGGCUGUUCAGAUAUCAUAAAAAGAGCUUUCCCACUUCUCUUAAAAUUGUAUUGAUAAGCAAAAGUACUUUCUCUAAUCAAGUAAGUAUAUUGUAGUUUUCUGAUUAGAAAGUAAAAAAUAUUCUGAUCUUCAGACAGUUUUAAUGCUCUUUCAGUGCUGAUUUGUACUUUGUUGUGCUGUUUUAUGAAGUAGACAUUUUAUCUGAAAAUUCUUAUUUGUGAUAAAAUUCCUGAUUAUUUAUAGCAAAAGUCUUAGUUUCUUAUGCCAAAAUAUUUAUUUAUAUUUUUAGAUAUCCUUUUUGGAUGGAGAAGAAGAGCAUCUCAUUUUGCAUGGAAGCCAAAACAUAUGCUAAUAUUCUUAAAACUUUUAAGUGCUUUGUUUUAGUGUUUGUUAUUUUGCAGUCUCCUGUUCAAUUUAUAAAAUGAUUGAGUUUUUUAAACUGACAGUAUAAUCUUAUGAGGCAUAACUGGAAUCAUGUAUGUGAUAAACCUAAAUAUCCUUGCCCCCACUGCUGGAAAGAAUUUGGGAAACGAAAAUACCUAAGUCAACAUUUAAAAAUGCAUAUUCCAGAUUCAUUUAUGUGCCCACACUGUUGUCAUACCUUUCGGUGGAAGUAUCGUUUAAAACAGCAUUUAGAAGUUUGCAACAGACAGGGUUAAAAAAAUGCAGCUUGUGCCUUAGAUAUUAAUAGAAAAAUAUAACAAGAAAAUGCUGUUUUUUCAUUCAUAUUUUGAGACUUGCAAUAACACUAGAUUUUUUAAAACAGUUAUAAAAGUAAUAAUCAAUAUUUGAAGAAUCUGACAAAGCAAAAAUGUAUUGACUGGGUGCUUUGCAAGGUAGAAAAAGUUGGAGUUGCUCACUGGAUUCAGCAUUAUUUUGUACCUUUGUAGAAAAACAUCAUCUGACACUGUUAUAUUAUUAAAAAAAUUAAAUGGGUUUGAGGUAUUUGUAAUCAUACUACAUUCUGAUUUUGAUAUUUUUCUUCUUUAAUAAGCUUUUGUUUAAAAUUGUACAUGUCUUUAUAAAUGUAUUUUUAUGCUAAAUUUCAUAUUGUCUUUUGUCUACUUUGUGUAUUCUACAUUAUAAUGAAAUUAAAUAAUAUUAAUACUCAAUUCAAAUAAAUGCUAUUUAUCAUAUGA